CCUACGGGAGGCAGCAGUGGGGAAUAUUGGACAAUGGGCGAAAGCCUGAUCCAGCAAUGCCGCGUGAGUGAUGAAGGCCUUAGGGUCGUAAAGCUCUUUUACCAGGGAUGAUAAUGACAGUACCUGGAGAAUAAGCUCCGGCUAACUCCGUGCCAGCAGCCGCGGUAAUACGGAGGGAGCUAGCGUUGUUCGGAAUUACUGGGCGUAAAGCGUGCGUAGGCGGUUAUUCAAGUCAGAGGUGAAAGCCCGGGGCUCAACCCCGGAACGGCCUUUGAAACUAGAUAACUAGAAUCUUGGAGAGGUCAGUGGAAUUCCGAGUGUAGAGGUGAAAUUCGUAGAUAUUCGGAAGAACACCAGUGGCGAAGGCGACUGACUGGACAAGUAUUGACGCUGAGGUACGAAAGCGUGGGGAGCAAACAGGAUUAGAUACCCUGGUAGUCCACGCCGUAAACGAUGAUAACUAGCUGUCCGGACACUUGGUGUUUGGGUGGCGCNGCUACGACAUUAAGUUAUUACCGUCCGUCGGGUAGGUACGGUCGGCGAGAAGUUAAAACGUUAACGAAAGAAAGUUAGACGGUCGUGUAGAGUUGUCCGAACGGACGACGACGAGGGAGGAGG
Molecule: ribosomal RNA, 618 nt
Filed under: uncultured bacterium
Lineage: Bacteria
Description: bacterial SSU rRNA
Rfam family: Bacterial small subunit ribosomal RNA (bases 1-520)
Source: RNAcentral